Molecule: ribosomal RNA, 253 nt
Filed under: uncultured bacterium
Lineage: Bacteria
Description: partial 16S ribosomal RNA
Rfam family: Bacterial small subunit ribosomal RNA
Source: RNAcentral
UACGUAGGGGGCAAGCGUUAUCCGGAUUUACUGGGUGUAAAGGGAGCGUAGGCGGCAGGGCAAGCCUGAUGUGAAAGCCCGGGGCUCAACCCCGGGACUGCAUUGGGAACUGCCCUGCUGGAGUGCCGGAGGGGCAGGCGGAAUUCCUAGUGUAGCGGUGAAAUGCGUAGAUAUUAGGAGGAACACCAGUGGCGAAGGCGGCCUGCUGGACGGUGACUGACGCUGAGGCUCGAAAGCGUGGGGAGCAAACAGG